RNAcentral lists this ribosomal RNA (544 nucleotides) under uncultured bacterium. Its description in RNAcentral is "partial 16S ribosomal RNA". It matches the Rfam family "Bacterial small subunit ribosomal RNA", at positions 355 to 887 of the family's 1533-position model. The record is from RNAcentral.
UGGGGAAUAUUGCACAAUGGGCGCAAGCCUGAUGCAGCCAUGCCGCGUGUGUGAAGAAGGCCUUCGGGUUGUAAAGCACUUUCAGCGAGGAGGAAGGUGGUGAGCUUAAUACGCUCAUCAAUUGACGUUACUCGCAGAAGAAGCACCGGCUAACUCCGUGCCAGCAGCCGCGGUAAUACGGAGGGUGCAAGCGUUAAUCGGAAUUACUGGGCGUAAAGCGCACGCAGGCGGUUUGUUAAGUCAGAUGUGAAAUCCCCGGGCUCAACCUGGGAACUGCAUUUGAAACUGGCAAGCUAGAGUCUCGUAGAGGGGGGUAGAAUUCCAGGUGUAGCGGUGAAAUGCGUAGAGAUCUGGAGGAAUACCGGUGGCGAAGGCGGCCCCCUGGACGAAGACUGACGCUCAGGUGCGAAAGCGUGGGGCAGCAAACAGGAUUAGAUACCCUGGUAGUCCACGCUGUAAAACGAUGUCGAUUUUGGAGGUUGUGCCCCUUGAGGCGUGGCUUCCGGAGCUAACGCGUUAAAUCGACCGCCUGGGGAGUACGGCC